UACAGAGGUCUCGAGCGUUAGGCGGAAUCACUGGGCUUAAAGCGUGUGUAGGUGGAUCGGUAAGUACCUUGUGAAAUCCCACGGCUUAACCGUGGAACUGCCUGGUAUACUGCCAGUCUUGAGCCAGCUAGGGGCUACCGGAACAAAUGGUGGAGCGGUGAAAUGCGUAGAUAUCAUUUGGAACGCCAAUGGUGAAAACAGGUAGCUGGGGCUGUGCUGACACUGAGACACGAAAGCCAGGGGAGCAAACGGG
This 253-nucleotide ribosomal RNA is filed under the name uncultured bacterium. RNAcentral describes it as "partial 16S ribosomal RNA". It matches the Rfam family "Bacterial small subunit ribosomal RNA", at positions 524 to 776 of the family's 1533-position model. The record is from RNAcentral.